Molecule: unclassified non-coding RNA, 285 nt
Filed under: plant metagenome
Description: partial contains small subunit ribosomal RNA, internal transcribed spacer 1, and 5.8S ribosomal RNA
Rfam family: Eukaryotic small subunit ribosomal RNA (bases 1-54)
Source: RNAcentral
GGAAGUAAAAGUGGUAACAAGGUUUCCGUAGGUGAACCUGCGGAAGGAUCAUUAUUGUAUAACCGAGGUGCGAGGGCUGUCGCUGACCCGAAAGGUCGUGCACGCCCGAGUGCCCUCACACACAUCCAUCUCACCCCUAUGUGCACCACCGCGUGGGUCCCCCUUUGGCUUGUUCGGAGGGGGGCUUACGUUUUCACACAAACUUUGUAUGCAGUGUAGAAUGUAUUUUUUGUUUUUGCGAUCACGCAAUCAAUACAACUUUCAACAACGGAUCUCUUGGCUCUC